UACGGGGGGGGCAAGCGUUGUUCGGAAUUACUGGGCGUAAAGCGCGUGUAGGCGGCUAAGUGUGUCGGGCGUGAAAUCCCACGGCUCAACCGUGGAAGUGCACCCGAAACUACGUAGCUAGAGUCCUGGAGAGGAAGGUGGAAUGCUUGGUGUAGAGGUGAAAUUCGUAGAUAUCAAGCGGAACACCGGUGGCGAAGGCGGCCUUCUGGACAGUGACUGACGCUGAGACGCGAAAGCGUGGGGAGCAAACAGG
This 253-nucleotide ribosomal RNA is filed under the name uncultured bacterium. Its description in RNAcentral is "partial 16S ribosomal RNA". It matches the Rfam family "Bacterial small subunit ribosomal RNA", at positions 524 to 776 of the family's 1533-position model. The record is from RNAcentral.